GAGCCAUGCAUGCCCGCUCACCCGGGACGCGGCGGACGGCUCAGGACGACGGUUGCACCCCCCGCGGCGGUCCCUGCUAGCCGGACACCGCUGGCAACCCGGCGCCAAGACGUGCGCGCAAGGGCGGGCGCCCGCGGGCGAGCAGCGUGACGCAGCGACGGCCCGCCCGGGCUUCCGGGGCAUCACCCGGUCGGCGCGGUCGCGGCGCGCCGAGGGCCCGACGCCUGGCGGAGAAUCAGGGUUC
Molecule: ribosomal RNA, 244 nt
Filed under: Giardia duodenalis
Lineage: Eukaryota; Fornicata; Diplomonadida; Hexamitidae
Description: Giardia intestinalis partial small subunit ribosomal RNA
Source: RNAcentral